AGCGAACGCUGGCGGCAGGCCUAACACAUGCAAGUCGAACGAACUCUUCGGAGUUGGUGGCGGACGGGUGGGUAACACGUUGGAACGUGCCUUUUAGUUCGGAAUAACUCAGGGGAACUUGUGCUAAUACGGGCUGUGCUCUUCGGGGCAAAGAUUUGUCGACAUUAGAGCGGCCUCCGACUGAUUAGCUAGUUGGUGAGGUAACGGCUCACCAAGGCGACGAUCAGUAGCUGGUCUGUGAGGAUGACCUGCCACACUGGGCCUGAGACACGGCCCAGACUCCUACGGGAGGCAGCAGUGGGGAAUCUUGCGCAAUGGGCGAAAGCCAGACGCAGCCAGGCCGCGUGAAUGAUGAAGGUCUUAGGAUUGUAAAAUUCUUUCACCGGGGACUAUAAUGACGGUACCCGGAGAAGAAGCCCCGGCUAACUUCGUG
RNAcentral lists this ribosomal RNA (433 nucleotides) under uncultured bacterium. RNAcentral describes it as "partial 16S ribosomal RNA". It matches the Rfam family "Bacterial small subunit ribosomal RNA", at positions 29 to 507 of the family's 1533-position model. The record is from RNAcentral.